AUGCUGAUCUGUUUUAUUUGUCAAAAAGAGCACCCAGAGAGUCAACAGUUGAUUUCCCAUUUAAGAGGUGAACAUAGUUAUUAUCCUGGAUCUAAGUUCAAAUUAAUUUGUUCUCAGCAAGGUUGUAGGCAUCAGUUCCAAACAUAUGCAGGUUUUCGUAAGCACCUUAAUAGUGUUCAUAGCAGCAUUCAGCUGAUUGCUCCAACUUCAACUGUUGGAUGUUCCUCAAGUGAGCCAGUUGCAAGCUCAUCUCAUGCUUUGGAGGACCUUAUGAAUCCCCAGCAUUUAUCUCCUUGUUCCAGUGCUUUAUCUGAUAACAAUGAUUCAGGGCUUACUAAAAAUUCAACUAAAGAAUUGUGUGAAUCCAUUGUGGCCAAAAUACAAGCAAGUGGGAUUUCAAACAGUUUGGUGUCCUCAAUUGUCGGAGAUUUAGAGGAGCUAACAGAUGAGCUUAACUCUCAGGCAAAGCAUAACAUACUUUCUGCUUUGCCUACAAAUGACCCCUACAAAACUGUAAUAAAUGAAUCUUUUGAAAAAUUAGAAAACCCAUUCACAAAUUUGAAUACAGAAUGGAAACGUAAUAAAUACUUUAAAGAAAAAUGGGGAGUUGUAGAGCCCAAUGAGAUAACAUUAGGUGUGCGGUAUGACAACAAAUUGAAUAAGAAAUCUGGUACUUAUGACCAAGUUCCAGUGAAUGAUACUUUUAUAUAUGUGCCAAUUUUAGAAACAUUGAAAUUCAUGUGCAGAAAUCCAGACAUUUGUGAUCUCCUAAGGAAAGAUUGUAGAUCAGAGCCUGACACUUUUACAGAUUUUAGCGAUGGAAGUUAUUUUAAAUCCCACCCUUUAUUUACAACAAAAAGACAUGCAUUACAAAUUCAAAUAUACUAUGAUGAUUUUGAAACCGCUAACCCCCUUGGCUCCAAACGUAGUAUCCACAAAAUUGGCUGCCUUUAUUUUAUUGUAAGAAACUUGCCUCCAAAAUUUAACUCAGUUCUGAUGAACAUUCAUUUGUUAGCACUUUUUCACACACAAGAUGUAAGCAAGUACGGUUUUGAUGUUAUACUGGAUCCAUUGAUAAAUGAUAUAAAGAUACUUGAAAGCCAAGGAUUAAGUCUCCCAUUCUCAGAUGAGCAGAUAUACGGCACCAUCGCACAAAUCACUGGUGAUAAUCUAGGAAUGCAUUCAAUUCUUGGUUUUAAUGAGUCAUUUAAUAGCCAUCAUUUCUGUCGCCUUUGUUUAAUUGAAAAGAAUGAUUCUCAAACAGUAUACAGUGAGGAUGAUCCUAAGGUGGUCCUUCGUGGACAAGAAAUCUUUGAAAUACAUUGCAAGUCUCUCCAUGAAAACCCACAAUUGAGGUCACUAUAUGGUUUGAAAAAAAAAUCCAUAAUUAAUACACUGAAGUACUUUCAUGUUAGCAAUAACUACUCAUUUGAUAUAAUGCAUGACCUUCUUGAGGGCGUGGUUCAAUAUGAAAUCAAAUUGCUUUUUGGACAUCUCACACAAAACUUUAUAUCUGAAGAGGAUUUACUUUCAAGGAUUUAUUCUUUUGAUUAUGGAUUUUUAGAACGGAAAAAUCGUCCCACAAAGGUUAUUUUGGAUAGUGCUGGUAAUAGCAUUGGUUUAAAUUCCAUUCAGACAUUAUGUCUUGUGAAAAAUCUCCCACUUUUGUUAGGAGACAUUGUUCCUCCAGGACACAAACACUGGAGUUUGUUGCUUAUGUUACUUCAAAUAAUGAACAUUGUGUUUUCACCUUGUCUCACUUCAGGUUUGACAGUGUAUUUGAAGCACUUGAUCGCUGACCAUCACAAACUAUUCAAGUACUUGUAUCCUCAUAAAAAUUUGAUUCCUAAACAUCAUUAUAUGAUACAUUACCCUUCUUCUAUAAGGAAAAUUGGCCCCUUAUUAUAUAUGUGGUCAAUGAGGUUCGAAGCCAAACAUAAGAUGUUCAAAGAUUUUUUUAAAAAUUUCAAAAACAUAACAAAAUCAUUAGCUAAAAAGCAUCAGAUGGCCAUUGCGUACCAUUGGGAAACCUUCACCCUCAAACAUAAUGAGUUUGGGCCAAUUAAACCAUUUUCCAUAGGGAAUGAGGUCAGCAAUCAAAUGCUUGAAAUGUUCGUAUCAAAAGAUGUUUUCUCAACCAGUUGGGUUAAAGUUGAUGGUGUAGAAUAUAGAGCUGGACUUGUGGUGUGCAGUGCAAUAGAAAGUGAAAUGCCAGUCUUCUGUCAAAUAAGUGAUGUACUUUUGGUUGAAAAUUGCAUUUAUCUGUUGGUAAACAAACUAUUUACAGAGAAUUUUGAUGAACAUCAUCAUGCAUUCAGAGUAGUACAAAGUGAGGAAAGGUGUAUUAUCAAAAUGUCAGAAAUUCAAUUUUAUAAGCCAUUUGAUAUUCAAAGUUCAUACAGUGUUGUGGAUGAAAGUUUGUAUAUCAUACCUUCUUUUGUAAUGUUUUAA
This is a long non-coding RNA of Cyprinus carpio (common carp), 2451 nucleotides long. The record is from Ensembl. NCBI's taxonomy places the organism in Eukaryota, Metazoa, Chordata, Actinopteri, Cypriniformes, Cyprinidae.